UACAGAGGGUGCAAGCGUUAAUCGGAAUUACUGGGCGUAAAGCGUGCGCAGGCGGCUUUGCAAGACAGAUGUGAAAUCCCCGGGCUCAACCUGGGAACUGCAUUUGUGACUGCAUGGCUAGAGUGCGGUAGAGGGGGAUGGAAUUCCGCGUGUAGCAGUGAAAUGCGUAGAUAUGCGGAGGAACACCGAUGGCGAAGGCAAUCCCCUGGACCUGUACUGACGCUCAUGCACGAAAGCGUGGGGAGCAAACAGG
Molecule: ribosomal RNA, 253 nt
Filed under: uncultured bacterium
Lineage: Bacteria
Description: partial 16S ribosomal RNA
Rfam family: Bacterial small subunit ribosomal RNA
Source: RNAcentral